Molecule: non-coding RNA, 141 nt
Filed under: Microlunatus sagamiharensis
Lineage: Bacteria; Bacillati; Actinomycetota; Actinomycetes; Propionibacteriales; Propionibacteriaceae
Description: Friedmanniella sagamiharensis FMN sequence
Rfam family: FMN riboswitch aptamer (RFN element)
About the family: The RFN element is a highly conserved domain that is found frequently in the 5'-untranslated regions of prokaryotic mRNAs that encode for flavin mononucleotide (FMN) biosynthesis and transport proteins.
Source: Rfam by way of RNAcentral
GCGCGUGUUCCGGGGUCGGUGAAAGUCCGAGCCGGCGGUGACAGUCCGCGACCCGUACGCCGCUCCGUCAGGAGCAGCGUCCGGUUGAUGUGGUGAAACUCCACGACCGACGGUGAGAGUCCGGAUGGGAGGACCACGCCG